CUGGAGGUAUCAGAAGUGCGAAUGCUGACAUAAGUAACGAUAAAGCGGGUGAAAAGCCCGCUCGCCGGAAGACCAAGGGUUCCUGUCCAACGUUAAUCGGGGCAGGGUGAGUCGACCCCUAAGGCGAGGCCGAAAGGCGUAGUCGAUGGGAAACGGGUUAAUAUUCCCGUACUUGGUGUUACUGCGAAGGGGGGACGGAGAAGGCUAUGUUGGCCGGGCGACGGUUGUCCCGGUUUAAGCGUGUAGGUGUGUGUUCCAGGUAAAUCCGGUUCACUUUAACACUGAGGCGUGAUGACGAGGCACUACGGUGCUGAAGCAACAAAUGCCCUGCUUCCAG
RNAcentral lists this ribosomal RNA (337 nucleotides) under Salmonella enterica subsp. enterica serovar Chester. Its description in RNAcentral is "partial 23S ribosomal RNA". It matches the Rfam family "Bacterial large subunit ribosomal RNA", at positions 1273 to 1611 of the family's 2925-position model. Lineage: Bacteria; Pseudomonadati; Pseudomonadota; Gammaproteobacteria; Enterobacterales; Enterobacteriaceae. The record is from RNAcentral.